GAGAAACUUUGCAAUGUGCGAAAGCACGACAAGGUUAAUCCGAGUGGUUUCUGCUAAAGGAACCUUUUGACAGUCCUAGAAACACUGUUGAAUAAGGGGUGGGCAAGUUCUGGUGUCAGCCGCCGCGGUAAAACAGCACCUCAAGUGGUCGAGGAUGAUUAUUGGGCCGUAAAGACAUCCGUAGCCGGCUCUGUAAGUUUUCGGUUAAAUCUGUACGCUCAACGUACAGGCUGCCGGGAAU
Molecule: ribosomal RNA, 241 nt
Filed under: uncultured Nitrososphaerota archaeon
Lineage: Archaea; Thermoproteati; Nitrososphaerota
Description: uncultured thaumarchaeote partial 16S ribosomal RNA
Rfam family: Archaeal small subunit ribosomal RNA
Source: RNAcentral